Molecule: non-coding RNA, 3920 nt
Organism: Xyrichtys novacula (pearly razorfish)
Lineage: Eukaryota; Metazoa; Chordata; Actinopteri; Labriformes; Labridae
Source: the annotation of a GenBank genome assembly
GGUUGAACUUGAGUUAGUGGGGUUUUUUUACUUGAGUUUGUGUCGUGUUUGAACUUGAGUGUGUUGUGUAUUUUAACUUCAGUCUGUGUUGUUUUUGAACUUGAGGUUGUGGAUUUGAUAAACUUGAGAAUUGUGUAUUGGUUGAACUUGAGUUUUUGUUGUUUCUGAACUUUAGUUUGUGGUGUUUUUGAACUUGAGGGUGUGGAAUUUGUUAAACUUGAGAAUUUGGUAUUGGUUGAACUUGAGUUUGUGUUUGUUGAACUUGAGUUUGUGUCAUGUUUGAACUUGAGUUUGUGGUGUUUUUGAACUUGAGUUUGUGUCAUGUUUGAACUUGAGUUUGUGGUGUUUUUUAACUUGAGUUUGUGUUGUUUUUUAACUUGAGGGUGUGGAAUUUGUUUAACUUGAGAAUUGGGUACUGGUUGAACUUGAGUUUGUGUGUUUGUUGAACUUGAGUUUGUGGUGUGUUUGAACUUGAGUUUGUGUGUUGGUUGAACUUGAGUUUGUGUUGUGUUUGAACUUGAGCUCAUGUUGUUUGUUGAACUUGAGUUUGUGUGUUUUUUUAACUUGAGGUUGUGAAAAAUUUUAAACAUGGGAAUCAGUUGUUGGUUGAAUUUGAGUUUGUGGUUUUUGUUGAACUUGAAUUUGUGGUGUUUUUGAACUUGAAUUUCUGUUGUUUUUCAAUUUGAGAUUGUGGAAAUUGUUAAACUUGAGAAUCAGGUGUUGGUUAAAUUUGAAUUUGUGAUUAUGUUGAACUUGAGUUUGUGUCAUUUCUGAAAUUGAUUUUGUGGUGUUUUUGAACUUGAGUUUGUGUGUUUGUUGAACUUGAGUUUGUGUUGUGUUUGAACUUGAGUUUGUGGUGUUUUUGAACUUGAGUUUGUGUGUUUGUUGAACUUGAGUUUGUGUUGUGUUUGAACUUGAGUAUGUGUUGUUUUUGAACUUGAGUUUCUGUUGUUUUUGAACUUGAUUUUGUGGAAAUUGUUAAACUUGAGAAUAAGGUGAUGGUUGAACUUGAGUUUGUUGAACUUGAGUUUGUGUCGUUUUUGAACUUGAGUUCAUGGUGUUUUUGAAAUUUAGUUUGUGGCGUUUGUUGAACUUGAGUUUGUGUCGUGUUUGAAGUUGAGUUUGUGGUGUUUUUGAACUUGAGUUUGUGUGUUUGUUGAACUUGAGUUUCUUUUGUUUUUGAACUUGAAUUUGUUUCAUGUUUAAACUUGAGUUUAUGUUUUUUUUGAACUUGAGUUUGUGUUGUUUUUGAACUUGAGGUUGUAGCAAUUUUUAAACGUGGGAUUUGGGUGUUGGUUGAACUCUAGUUUGUGGUUUUUGUUAAACUUGAGUUUGUGUCGUGUUUCAACUUUAGUUUGUGGUGUUUUUGAACUUGAGGUUGUGUUGUUUUUGAACUUGAGGUUGUAGCAAUUGUUAAACUUGAGAUUUGGGUGUUGGUUGAACUUAAUAGUUUGACAUUUGUUGAACUUGAGUUUGUGGUUUUUGUUGAACUUUAGUUGUUGGCAAUUUUUGAACUUGAGUGUUUGGCGUUUGUUUAACUUAAGUUUGUGAUGUGUUUGAACUUGAGUUUUUUUUUUUAACUAGGGAUUGUGGUGCUUUUGAACUUGAGUUUGUGGCUUUUUUGAACUUGAGUUUGUGGUGUUUUUGAACUUGAGUUUGUGGUGUUUUUGAACUUGAGGUUGUGGAAAUUGUUAAAUUUGAGAUUUGGGUAUUGGUUGAACUUUAGUUUUUUGUGUUUUUGAACUUGAGUUUGUGUGUUUGAACUUGAGUUUGUGGAAAUUGUUAAACUUGAGAAUCAGGUUUUGGUUAAACUUGAAUUUGUGUUUUUUAAACUUGAGUUUGUGUCAUUUUUUUAAAUUGAGUUUGUGGUGUUUUUGAACUUGAGUUUGUGUGUUUGUUGAACUUGAGUUUGUGUUGUUUUUGAACUUGAGUUUGCGUUUUUUUAACUUGAGUUUUUGGUGUUUUUGAACUUGAGGGUGUGGAAUUUGUUAAGCUUAACAAUUGGGUAUAUGUUGAACUUUAAUUUCUGUUUGUUGAACUUAAGUUUGUGUCAUGUUUGAAAUUGAGUUUGUAGUGUUUCUUGAACUUGAGGGUAUGGAAUUUGUUAAGGAAGCCCGAACACCCCAAAUAUUUUUUUUUCAUUUUUCUUUUUUUUUAGGUCUAACUCCAAUAGGUUGGAAAAGAGUUCCUACAGAGGUUUAGGACAGUGAUUUUAACCUUGACGCCAAAAACCUUAAACCUUACCCUAGCCCCAUAACCUUAUACUCGGGUAUUACCUUAAGGAAGCCCGAACACCCCAAACAUUUUUUUUUAUUUUUCUUUUUUUUUAGGUCUAACUAACUCCAAAAGGUUGGAAAAGAGUUCCUUCAAAGGUUUUGGACAGUGAUUUUAACCCUAAUGCCAAAAACCUUAAACCAUACCAAAGCCCCAUAAUCUAAUACCCGAACACCCCAAAUAUUUCUUUUUCAUUUUACAAUUUUUUUUUUGGUGUAACUAACUCCAUAAGGUCUGAAACAUGUUCCUUAAAAGGUUUUGGACAGUGAUUUUAACCCUAACGCCAAAAACAUUAAACCUUUCCCUAGCCCCAUAACCUAAUACCCGGGUAUUACCUUCAGGAAGCCCGAACACCCCAAAUAUUUCUUUUCAUUUUCCAUUUUUUUUGUUGUAACCAAUUCCAAAUGGUUUGAAACAUGUUCCUAAAAAGGUUUUGGACAGUGAUUUUAACCCUAAAGCCUGAAACCUUAGACUUUACCCUGGCCCCAUUACCUAAUACCCGGGUAUUACCUUCAGAAUGCCCGAACACCCCAAACAUUUUUUUUUCAUUUUUCGUUUUUUUUAGGUCUAACUAACUCCAAAAGGUUGGAAAAGAGUUCCUACAAAGGUUUUGGACAGUGAUUUUAACCCUAAAGCCAAAAACCUUAAACCUUACCCUAGCCCCAUAACCUUAUACCCGGGUAUUACCUUAAGGAAGCCCGAACACCCCAAAUAUUUUUUUUUCAUUUUACAAUUUUUUUUGUUGUAACUUACUCCAUCAGGUCUGAAACAUGUUCCUAAAAAGGUUUUGGACAGUGAUUUUAACCCUAACGCCAAAAACCUUAAACCUUACCCUAGCCCCAUAACCUAAUACCCGGGUAUUACCUUAAGGAAGCCCGAACACCCCAAAUAUUUUUUUUUCAUUUUUCUUUUUUUUUAGGUCUAACUAACUCCAAAAGGUUGGAAAAGAGUUCCUACAAAGGUUUUGAACAGUGAUUUUAACCCUAAUGCCAAAAACCUUAAACCAUACCAAAGCCCCAUAAUCUAAUACCCGGGUAUUACCUUCAGGAAUCCUGAGCACCCCAAAUAUUUCUUUUUCAUUUUACAAUUUUUUUUUGUUGUAACUUACUCCAUCAGGUCUGAAACAUGUUCCUUAAAAGGUUUUGGACAGUGAUUUUAACCCUAACGCCAAAAAGAUUAAACCUUUCCCUAGCCCCAUAACCUAAUACCCGGGUAUUACCUUCAGGAAGCCCGAACACCCCAAAUAUAUUUUUUUCAUUUUCCAUUUUUUUUGUUGUAACCAAUUCCAAAUGGUUUGAAUCAUGUUCCUAAAAAGGUUUUGGACAGUGAUUUUAACCCUAAAGCCUCAAACCUUAAAUCUUACCAUAGCCCCAUAAUCUAAUAUCCGGGUAUUACCUUCAGGAAGCCCGAACACCCCAAAUAUUUCUUUUUCAUUUUACAAUUUUCUUUUUGGUGUAACUAACUCCAUAAGGUCUGAAACAUGUUCCUAAAAAGGUUUUGGACAGUGAUUUUAACCCUAACGCCAAAAACAUUAAACCUUUCCCUAGCCCCAUAACCUGAUACCCGGGUAUAACCUUCAGGAAGCCCGAACACCCCAAAUAUAUUUUUUUCAUUUUCCAUUUUUUUGUUGUAACCAAUUCCAAAUG